This 465-nucleotide ribosomal RNA is filed under the name Vreelandella stevensii. RNAcentral describes it as "partial 16S ribosomal RNA". It matches the Rfam family "Bacterial small subunit ribosomal RNA", at positions 338 to 795 of the family's 1533-position model. The record is from RNAcentral. Lineage: Bacteria; Pseudomonadati; Pseudomonadota; Gammaproteobacteria; Oceanospirillales; Halomonadaceae.
CCUACGGGGGGCUGCAGUGGGGAAUAUUGGACAAUGGGCGAAAGCCUGAUCCAGCCAUGCCGCGUGUGUGAAGAAGGCCUUCGGGUUGUAAAGCACUUUCAGUGGGGAAGAAAGCCUUGGGGCUAAUACCCUCGAGGAAGGACAUCACCCACAGAAGAAGCACCGGCUAACUCCGUGCCAGCAGCCGCGGUAAUACGGAGGGUGCGAGCGUUAAUCGGAAUUACUGGGCGUAAAGCGCGCGUAGGCGGUCUGAUAAGCCGGUUGUGAAAGCCCCGGGCUCAACCUGGGAACGGCAUCCGGAACUGUCAGGCUAGAGUGCAGGAGAGGAAGGUAGAAUUCCCGGUGUAGCGGUGAAAUGCGUAGAGAUCGGGAGGAAUACCAGUGGCGAAGGCGGCCUUCUGGACUGACACUGACGCUGAUGUGCGAAAGCGUGGGUAGCAAACAGGAUUAGAUACCCGAGUAGUC